Molecule: long non-coding RNA, 1753 nt
Organism: Aethalodelphis obliquidens (Pacific white-sided dolphin)
Lineage: Eukaryota; Metazoa; Chordata; Mammalia; Artiodactyla; Delphinidae
Exons: 3
Source: RefSeq, a predicted model, not a curated record
GAAGACUUAACCAGUGGACUGCCAGGAAAGUCCCAAAUUACUUGAUUUUAGGGAUGUCGCUAGACGUUUCUCCCUACCUGAGAGAAUAAGAAAUUUAGGAAAUUCUGCCUUCUACAUCUUGCUUUGGAGGGACAGAAGAAAAUUCUGAGAAACCCGCAGUGCACCGUGGAGAGCUGCACCCCUUAACACACCUCAGAACACGCUUUGGGAAGGUCAGGAUUAAGGCAAGGCUGCUAUCUAACUCCCCAUGGCAGUUGACAGAGAGGAACGGUCAAACGUCCACACACCAGCCUGAAUAGUGGCUUCUCUCAAUGUUGUCAAGUCCAGCAACACUGCUGCCCUCAGAGCCACCAUCCAUCAAGGUACAGGACCUAGUGAAAAAGUGCAGAAGAAGAGGGAUGGCAACCACCCUUGGCCUUUGUCCCAAGUGAUGCUGUGCAGUACAGCUCACCUGACAGCCCCGGGGGCCGGGGCCUGGAAGCCUGGGUUUCCCAUGCAGCAUUAAUCCGUACCCACUUUGAAUUCUGGAAGGACAGUGGUUACAAAUCCUUCUUCCACUGACAUAAACACCAAGAGACAGAGGGUGUACAGUUCCAAACCCAGCAAUGUCACACAUCGUGUGUACCUCUGCAGACUGGCAGGUGUGUUUAUAGACCCCAAAGGGAUGUGACAGUUCAGCAAGAUCUGCUGUGGCACAGUAGCCACCUUGGGGGCGGGCACACGGAACCCUGAGGCCAAGACUCCGGCACAGGUGGCACUGCUGCUGUGUCCUCUGCCCUCACCGCCUGUGGGACUUUGGACAAGUUACUCACCCUCUCUGAGCUUCAGCUUCCUUUUCAGUAACAUGGGAAUAAUCAUAAUAGUAGUAGUAGAGCAGUCUGGCGGAUUAAAUGAUUUAAUAUUUGCAAAGUGCCGAGACCAGUGCUUGCCUCACUGUACAUGCAAUAUGUGUUGGUUAAAUAGGAUAGUGUCAUUGUGUUUACUCCAAUUUCCCUCUAUUGGUAUAUGUCUCCUUUCAUAAUAGACAAAGAUGACACACAACAUUGGUGAAAACAAGACCGUCGCACUCCUCGUUUUGAGACAGCCAGGCCUGACUAAUUACAAGGAUACAAAUGAGGCCAGGCUUGGCAGUGCUGCUUCCAGAGGUGCACAUGCUGACUCUCUGGCGGGCUGGGGUAGCCUGUGAUGGAGAGCCUGGCUGUUACUUGCAUACACUAACGAUCAGGCCUCGUGCACAGUUACCAGAGAUUCCAGCAGAACGGGAACAUGCAGGCAGAACAAGAGGCAGGGCUGCCAGAAUCACAGGUGGGCCAGCAAUUGCCCUGCAAACUGCAUCUCUCAGGGCUCUCCUGUCCUGCUUCACGGGCAGCGCCUCCCAGGAGCCCCUGGCAGGAGCAGUAGGGGCUGGUCCUGCCUCUGCCUCACCUCCCUUCAUAGUCCUUACCUCAGCUGUUAAAAAUAAUAAAAUAAAACUAGCUUUAAAACAGACAAAAUAAAUGUGCUCAAAAGACAAUAGAGGGAAAUAGUUUGGUAAAUCUUGAUUAAUUUUUCUUGAUGUCAUUGGUAUUUACUUGAAAAUAGCAUCAUAUAAAUAUAUUUUAUAUAUUUUAAAAGGUUAAUAAAUAUAUAUUUAUAAAGAUUGUCAAAUAUGUCUUAAGGAAAUGUACAUUUCUUGAAAAGAAAAAGCAAAGCAGGUAAUGUACAUGAAUAAUGUCCUAAGUUGUAGAAUAAAAGCUCUUCAUUAGGUGUGUAA